This 376-nucleotide ribosomal RNA is filed under the name Austropurcellia arcticosa. Its description in RNAcentral is "partial 12S ribosomal RNA". The record is from RNAcentral. Lineage: Eukaryota; Metazoa; Arthropoda; Arachnida; Opiliones; Pettalidae.
UUAUUGAAAGUGUUUAUUAAUGGAUAAUUAUAUUGAGUUAAUAAAAUUGGGCGGGUUUCUUUUCCAAUUAGAGGAAUUUGCCUUCGUAAAGGAUAUGACGCCAAAGAUUUACUUUUUUUUUAGAAAGCUUUUAUACCGCUGUUUUAAAGUAAUAUGUUAAUAUUUCUUGUAUUAUCUAUUUUUCUAAUUAUUAAUAUCUUUAGUUUAAUAUAUAAAAAAUUCAAGUCUAGGUGAAGCUAUAAAAAAGAGAGAGUGAAUUACAAUAAAUAUUUUUAUUACGGAUGGGAAUUUUAGAAUUUCUUUGAAGGGGAUUUAAAGGAAAAUUUUUUAAUGAAAAUUUGAUUAGAGUUUAAAAAAUGUACAUAUCGCCCGGUCC